Molecule: ribosomal RNA, 432 nt
Filed under: uncultured bacterium
Lineage: Bacteria
Description: bacterial SSU rRNA
Rfam family: Bacterial small subunit ribosomal RNA
Source: RNAcentral
GGGCCCGCACAAGCGGUGGAGUAUGUGGUUUAAUUCGAUGCAACGCGAAGAACCUUACCAGGGUUUGACAUCCUGCGAAUUUCUGGGAAACAGGAGAGUGCCUUCGGGAACGCAGUGACAGGUGGUGCAUGGCUGUCGUCAGCUCGUGUCGUGAGAUGUUGGGUUAAGUCCCGCAACGAGCGCAACCCACGUCUUUAGUUGCCAGCAUUUAGUUGGGCACUCUAGAGAGACUGCCGGUGAUAAACCGGAGGAAGGUGUGGAUGACGUCAAGUCAUCAUGGCCCUUACGAGUAGGGCUACACACGUGCUACAAUGGUGCAUACAGACGGUUGCGAACCCGCGAGGGGGAGCCAAUCCGAGAAAGUGCAUCGUAGUCCGGAUCGGAGUCUGCAACUCGACUCCGUGAAGUCGGAAUCGCUAGUAAUCGUGAAUC